Molecule: ribosomal RNA, 496 nt
Filed under: uncultured bacterium
Lineage: Bacteria
Description: partial 16S ribosomal RNA
Rfam family: Bacterial small subunit ribosomal RNA
Source: RNAcentral
GAUGAACGCUGGCGGCGUGCCUAAUACAUGCAAGUCGAGCGAACGGACGAGAAGCUUGCUUCUCUGAUGUUAGCGGCGGACGGGUGAGUAACACGUGGAUAACCUACCUAUAAGACUGGGAUAACUUCGGGAAACCGGAGCUAAUACCGGAUAAUAUUUUGAACCGCAUGGUUCAAAAGUGAAAGACGGUCUUGCUGUCACUUAUAGAUGGAUCCGCGCUGCAUUAGCUAGUUGGUAAGGUAACGGCUUACCAGGGCAACGAUGCAUAGCCGACCUGAGAGGGUGAUCGGCCACACUGGAACUGAGACACGGUCCAGACUCCUACGGGAGGCAGCAGUAGGGAAUCUUCCGCAAUGGGCGAAAGCCUGACGGAGCAACGCCGCGUGAGUGAUGAAGGUCUUCGGAUCGUAAAACUCUGUUAUUAGGGAAGAACAUAUGUGUAAGUAACUGUGCACAUCUUGACGGUACCGAAUCAGAAAGCCACGGCUAACUACGU